Molecule: long non-coding RNA, 247 nt
Filed under: Homo sapiens (human)
Lineage: Eukaryota; Metazoa; Chordata; Mammalia; Primates; Hominidae
Description: HSALNT0318392
Source: RNAcentral
CAGCGCUCUUCACAGCUGAGUCUGCUGAUGGACCUCACUGAAGAUCCAGUCCUGCUUCAGCUUCUGAUCAAACACCUCCAACUUCUGCUCCUCUCCCAGGCCCUGAGGCUUGAGGAAAGUGAAGUGUAUGGGCUCUGCAUUCCAAUAUAACAGGGCAUCAAUCCUGAUGCCACAACUUUUUCUCUCAGCCUCCCUGAACUUCUCUUUCUUUUACUGUGAAGUAUAUGUAACACAUUUUAAAGUUUUA